RNAcentral lists this ribosomal RNA (253 nucleotides) under uncultured bacterium. RNAcentral's name for it is "partial 16S ribosomal RNA". It matches the Rfam family "Bacterial small subunit ribosomal RNA", at positions 524 to 776 of the family's 1533-position model. The record is from RNAcentral.
UACGGAGGGUGCAAGCGUUAGUCGGAAUUACUGGGCGUAAAGGGUGCGUAGGCGGGAAUGUAAGUCAGACGUGACAUUCCGAAGCUCAACUUCGGAGCGGCAUCUGAAACUACAUUUCUAGAGGAAAAGCGGAGAAAACGGAGUUCCACGUGUAGCGGUGAAAUGCGUAGAUAUGUGGAAGAACACCUGUGGCGAAAGCGGUUUUAUAGCUUACUCCUGACGCUGAGGCACGAAAGCAAGGGGAGCAAACAGG